RNAcentral lists this ribosomal RNA (482 nucleotides) under uncultured bacterium. RNAcentral describes it as "partial 16S ribosomal RNA". It matches the Rfam family "Bacterial small subunit ribosomal RNA", at positions 30 to 507 of the family's 1533-position model. The record is from RNAcentral.
AUUGAACGCUGGCGGCAUGCUUUACACAUGCAAGUCGAACGGUAACAGGCCGCAAGGUGCUGACGAGUGGCGAACGGGUGAGUAAUGCAUCGGAACGUGCCCAGUCGUGGGGGAUAACUACUCGAAAGAGUAGCUAAUACCGCAUACGAUCUAUGGAUGAAAGCGGGGGACCGUAAGGCCUCGCGCGAUUGGAGCGGCCGAUGUCAGAUUAGGUAGUUGGUGGGGUAAAGGCUCACCAAGCCAACGAUCUGUAGCUGGUCUGAGAGGACGACCAGCCACACUGGGACUGAGACACGGCCCAGACUCCUACGGGAGGCAGCAGUGGGGAAUUUUGGACAAUGGGCGCAAGCCUGAUCCAGCAAUGCCGCGUGCAGGAAGAAGGCCUUCGGGUUGUAAACUGCUUUUGUACGGAACGAAACGGCUCUGGUUAAUACCCGAGGCUAAUGACGGUACCGUAAGAAUAAGCACCGGCUAACUACGUG